This 221-nucleotide ribosomal RNA is filed under the name Staphylococcus epidermidis. RNAcentral describes it as "partial 16S ribosomal RNA". It matches the Rfam family "Bacterial small subunit ribosomal RNA", at positions 329 to 542 of the family's 1533-position model. Lineage: Bacteria; Bacillati; Bacillota; Bacilli; Caryophanales; Staphylococcaceae. The record is from RNAcentral.
GUCCAGACUCCUACGGGAGGCAGCAGUAGGGAAUCUUCCGCAAUGGGCGAAAGCCUGACGGAGCAACGCCGCGUGAGUGAUGAAGGUCUUCGGAUCGUAAAACUCUGUUAUUAGGGAAGAAUAAAUGUGUAAGUAACUAUGCACGUCUUGACGGUACCUAAUCAGAAAGCCACGGCUAACUACGUGCCAGCAGCCGCGGUAAUACGUAGGUGGCAAGCGUU